Molecule: long non-coding RNA, 253 nt
Organism: Periophthalmus magnuspinnatus
Lineage: Eukaryota; Metazoa; Chordata; Actinopteri; Gobiiformes; Gobiidae
Exons: 4
Source: RefSeq, a predicted model, not a curated record
GUCCUCGUACAACACAACACUCCUCUGUCUCAUCUGUGUGACAAGCAACACAAGACUAGACAAGUGCAACCAUGCUGAAGGUAGCUCUGAUUCUGGGAUGUCUCCUGAGCCUUACUUUGGCUUCCCCUAUGAAUGAGGAGCACCAUCGUAAUGUUCGCUCUGAUGAAUCAAGCUCAGGGGAGAGUACCACCACAACUGCGACCACCACAACUGCAGCCACCACAGCAGCUGAUCUCGCUGCACUGAUCCAGGC